UACGAAGGGUGCAAGCGUUACUCGGAAUUACUGGGCGUAAAGCGUGCGUAGGUGGUUUGUUAAGUCUGCUGUGAAAGCCCCGGGCUCAACCUGGGAAUGGCAGUGGAUACUGGCAAGCUAGAGUGCGGUAGAGGGUAGUGGAAUCCCCGGUGUAGCGGUGAAAUGCGUAGAGAUCGGGAGGAACACCAGUGGCGAAGGCGGCUACCUGGACCAGCACUGACACUCAGGCACGAAAGCGUGGGGAGCAAACAGG
This 253-nucleotide ribosomal RNA is filed under the name uncultured bacterium. RNAcentral describes it as "partial 16S ribosomal RNA". It matches the Rfam family "Bacterial small subunit ribosomal RNA", at positions 524 to 776 of the family's 1533-position model. The record is from RNAcentral.